UACGGAGGGUGCAAACGUUGCUCGGAAUCAUUGGCGUAAAGCGCACGUAGGCGGCGCGUUAAGUCGGGUGUGAAGCCCUGGCUCAACCCAGGAAGUGCAUUCGAAACUGGCGCGCUUGAAUAUGGAAGAGGGUCGCGGAAUUCCCGGUGUAGAGGUGAAAUUCGUAGAUAUCGGGAGGAACGCCAAUGGCGAAGGCAGCUUGCUGGGACGGUACUGACGCUGAGACGCGAAAGCG
Molecule: ribosomal RNA, 235 nt
Filed under: uncultured bacterium
Lineage: Bacteria
Description: partial 16S ribosomal RNA
Rfam family: Bacterial small subunit ribosomal RNA
Source: RNAcentral